GGGGGUGUAGCUCAAUGGUAGAGCACAUGCUUAGCAUGCAUGAAGCCCUGGGUUCAAUCCCUGGCAGCUCCA
This is a non-coding RNA of Callithrix jacchus (white-tufted-ear marmoset), 72 nucleotides long. NCBI's taxonomy places the organism in Eukaryota, Metazoa, Chordata, Mammalia, Primates, Cebidae. The record is from Rfam.